UCUUUUUGUUUAAAAUUUAAAGUCUAGCCUGCUCAAUGAAUAAUUUAAAUAGCCGCAGUAUUUUGACUGUGCUAAGGUAGCAUAAUCAUUAGUUUUUUAAUUGAAAACUGGAAUGAAUGGUUGGAUGAAAAAAUUACUGUCUUUAAUUAAAUAAUUAAAAUUUUAUUUUUAAGUUCAAAAGCUUAAAUUAAAUUUAAAGACGAGAAGACCCUAUAGAAUUUUAUAUAAAUUUUACUUUUAAUAUUUAGAAUUUAAUUUUAAAUUUAAUUUUAUAUUUGAUUGGGGUGAUUAAAAAAUUAAUUAAACUUUUUUUCUAUAUUAAUAUAAAUUAAUAGGUUUUUGAUCCUUUUUUUUGAUUAUAAGAUAAAUUACCUUAGGGAUAACAGCGUAAUUUUAUUGGAAAGUUCUUAUUGAUAAUAAAGAUUGCGACCUCGAUGUUGGAUUAAAA
Molecule: ribosomal RNA, 448 nt
Filed under: Agasicles hygrophila
Lineage: Eukaryota; Metazoa; Arthropoda; Insecta; Coleoptera; Chrysomelidae
Description: partial 16S ribosomal RNA
Source: RNAcentral